GAGUGGCGAACGGGUGAGUAACACGUGGGUAACCUGCCCAGAAGUAGGGGAUAACACCUGGAAACAGAUGCUAAUACCGUAUAACAGAGAAAACCGCAUGGUUUUCUUUUAAAAGAUGGCUCUGCUAUCACUUCUGGAUGGACCCGCGGCGUAUUAGCUAGUUGGUGAGGUAAAGGCUCACCAAGGCAGUGAUACGUAGCCGACCUGAGAGGGUAAUCGGCCACAUUGGGACUGAGACACGGCCCAGACUCCUACGGGAGGCAGCAGUAGGGAAUCUUCCACAAUGGACGCAAGUCUGAUGGAGCAACGCCGCGUGAGUGAAGAAGGGUUUCGGCUCGUAAAGCUCUGUUGUUAAAGAAGAACGUGGGUAAGAGUAACUGUUUACCCAGUGACGGUAUUUAACCAGAAAGCCACGGCUAACUACGUGCCAGCAGCCGCGGUAAUACGUAGGUGGCAAGCGUUAUCCGGAUUCAUUGGGCGUAAAGCGAGCGCAGGCGGUCUUUUAAGUCUAAUGUGAAAGCCUUCGGCUCAACCGAAGAAGUGCAUUGGAAACUGGGAGACUUGAGUGCAGAAGAGGACAGUGGAACUCCAUGUGUAGCGGUGAAAUGCGUAGAUAUAUGGAAGAACACCAGUGGCGAAGGCGGCUGUCUGGUCUGCAACUGACGCUGAGGCUCGAAAGCAUGGGUAGCGAACAGGAUUAGAUACCCUGGUAGUCCAUGCCGUAAACGAUGAUUACUAAGUGUUGGAGGGUUUCCGCCCUUCAGUGCUGCAGCUAACGCAUUAAGUAAUCCGCCUGGGGAGUACGACCGCAAGGUUGAAACUCAAAAGAAUUGACGGGGGCCCGCACAAGCGGUGGAGCAUGUGGUUUAAUUCGAAGCUACGCGAAGAACCUUACCAGGUCUUGACAUCUUCUGACAGUCUAAGAGAUUAGAGGUUCCCUUCGGGGACAGAAUGACAGGUGGUGCAUGGUUGUCGUCAGCUCGUGUCGUGAGAUGUUGGGUUAAGUCCCGCAACGAGCGCAACCCUUAUUACUAGUUGCCAGCAUUAAGUUGGGCACUCUAGUGAGACUGCCGGUGACAAACCGGAGGAAGGUGGGGACGACGUCAAAUCAUCAUGCCCCUUAUGACCUGGGCUACACACGUGCUACAAUGGAUGGUACAACGAGUCGCGAAACCGCGAGGUUAAGCUAAUCUCUUAAAACCAUUCUCAGUUCGGACUGUAGGCUGCAACUCGCCUACACGAAGUCGGAAUCGCUAGUAAUCGCGGAUCAGCAUGCCGCGGUGAAUACGUUCCCGGGCCUUGUACACACCGCCCGUCACACCAUGAGAGUUUGUAACACCCAAAGCCGGUGGGGUAACCUCUAGGAGCUAGCC
This 1373-nucleotide ribosomal RNA is filed under the name Pediococcus pentosaceus. RNAcentral's name for it is "16S ribosomal RNA". It matches the Rfam family "Bacterial small subunit ribosomal RNA", at positions 93 to 1454 of the family's 1533-position model. The record is from RNAcentral. Lineage: Bacteria; Bacillati; Bacillota; Bacilli; Lactobacillales; Lactobacillaceae.